RNAcentral lists this small RNA (651 nucleotides) under Pan troglodytes (chimpanzee). RNAcentral describes it as "processed transcript". Lineage: Eukaryota; Metazoa; Chordata; Mammalia; Primates; Hominidae. The record is from RNAcentral.
AGCCUCCCCAAGGGCCCCAUCCUUCUGUCUCCCAGCAGCCUCUUCUCUGCCCUCCACAGGUAACCACCCCUACACAUACAAGCCCGUGGCCCCCUGGUGGGGAGAGGCAGGCCCACUGCCAGGCCAGCCUUAGCAGGCUGGCAUUAAGCUCUCAGGUGGCAAGGAGGGUGGGGUCAGACCCCCAUCACCUGAGCCUGCCAUCCCCUCUGGCUUCUUCCCUACUUUGGCCCCCUUCCCUGCUGUGGUUCUGGCCACCCCAGAGAGGUGAUCGAGAAGAAACCAGAGGUAUUCAAGGUCGCCUGCCUGAGUGACAUCCAGCAGCUGUUUCUGCCCCACGGACAGCCCUUCUAUGCUGCCUUUGGGAAUAGGCCCAACGAUGUCUUUGCCUACCGGCAGGUGGGCCUGCCUGAGUCACGCAUUUUCACAGUCAACCCCCGGGGAGAGCUCAUCCAGGAGCUCAUAAAGAACCACAAAUCCACGUAUGAGCGGCUUGGUGAAGUGGUCGAGCUCCUCUUCCCACCUGUGGCCCGUGGCCCCAGCACAGACCUGGCCAACCCUGAAUACAGUAACUUCUGCUACUGGCGGGAGCCACUGCCUGCUGUGGACCUUGAUACCCUGGACUGAACCUGCCCUGGCUGGCUCCUCCUCCCU